CAAGAAAUAGUUUAUUAGAAUAUUAAUUUUGGAGAUUAAAGGUAUAAUUUAAUUAUUUUUUUGA
Molecule: transfer RNA, 64 nt
Filed under: Pheidole fervens
Lineage: Eukaryota; Metazoa; Arthropoda; Insecta; Hymenoptera; Formicidae
Description: tRNA-Pro
Source: RNAcentral